This 695-nucleotide long non-coding RNA is filed under the name Olea europaea (common olive). RNAcentral describes it as "long non-coding RNA (OEUR_LNC009249)". The record is from RNAcentral. Lineage: Eukaryota; Viridiplantae; Streptophyta; Magnoliopsida; Lamiales; Oleaceae.
GGGAAAAUUAGGCCAAAUACCCCCUAAAAAUGAGAAUUUUGAAUAGUACUCUUCAAAUUAAUUGAAACAUUUAAUCACGUAUUAAAUACGCUCAAAACCUCACAGCUCCAAAUCAAAACCCUCGACUCCAAAAAACUCCCAUAGUCAGUGGAAGUGUUGGGCUGAAACCAAUGGCGGUGGAGGUACAGCCGAUGGUAGUGCCGGUGGUAGAUAUGGCAAUGCUGGUGGUUGGGAUGGACUUGCUACUGGAUUUGGCGGAGGUCGCGGUGGUGGGACUUGAGAUGGCCGAUUGGUUGAGUUGGAAUCUAUUUAAGACGUGGAAGUUCAUGAGUGUGUUGACAUAGAACGGGAUAGCGAGUCCGGCUGUAGGUCUUGGUUAUGGCUUGGCUCCGGUGCAUUGACCCGAAAUUUGCUCUGGUUGGAGCCCCAUUAUGAGUGCAGCAGAAACUGUAAAGAAGACUAUGAGAGUGGCUGCAAUGAUUAACUGGAAUUUGAGCUUGGAAAUUUUGGGAUUUGAAGUGGGUUCAUUUUCCAAUUAGGUUCUUCUUGAUGAAGCUUCAAGCUCAAUUGAUUCGAGCCUACCAUAAUUUGAGCUUGGAUUUUUUGGGAUUUGAAAUGGGUUCAUUUUCCAGUCGGGUUCUUCUUGAUGAAGCUUCAGGCUCUAUUGAUUCGAGCCAGCCAUUGCCCAUUCUAUU